AUUGAACGCUGGCGGCAUGCUUUACACAUGCAAGUCGGACGAGUGGCGGACGGGUGAGUAACGCAUGGGAACUUACCGAGUAAUGGGGGAUAACUGUCCGAAAGGACAGCUAAUACCGCAUACCAUUCGAUCUGCCCAUGUCGGAUUAGCUGGUUGGUGGGGUAAAGGCCCACCAAGGCGACGAUCAGUAGCGGGUCUGAGAGGAUGAUCGUCCACAAUGGAGCUGAGACACGGCCCAGACUCCUACGGGAGGCAGCAGUGGGGAAUUUUGGACAAUGGGCGCAAGCCUGAUCCAGCCAUGCCGCGUGUCUGAAGAAGGCCUUCGGGUUGUAAAGGACUUUUAGCGGGGAAGCGGUACCUGAAGAAUAAGCACCGGCUAACUACGUGCCAGCAGCCGCGGUAAUAC
RNAcentral lists this ribosomal RNA (406 nucleotides) under uncultured bacterium. RNAcentral describes it as "partial 16S ribosomal RNA". It matches the Rfam family "Bacterial small subunit ribosomal RNA", at positions 30 to 526 of the family's 1533-position model. The record is from RNAcentral.